ACGUAGCGUUACGAAACGCCUUAAUCUUAGUACCUUAUUAUACCUAUUCUAACUUAUAAUAAAUAAAACCUAAAACCUAAUUUUAAUAAACCUAAUAAAUAAACAUACUUUAAUUAAGUGAUCUAGUUCUAUUACGAUAAGUGAUAAUAAAAGUGUAGGUUCUAAAGUACGUUGUCACCGACAAACCGUUUCCAAUUAUAAGUAGCGAAUAGUUUCGUCCACUCGCGACGUCACCCUUUGUUCACCUUAGAUCUAGCGAUAAGCGACCGGCCGACUACGGGAGGGGCGCAUUGAUUUGCACGGCGAUCAGUCUCUGCUCACCGCUCUGGCAACUAGCCGCUUAUAAUAAAUAUCAUACGUACCUUGUCUGCGAGUACCUAACUCGUCAAAUCUAGACGUUAAUAAUUUUUAUAAUUCCUCAAAUAAGUGUUUAUACGUUGUUCCCAUCUGGGAACAACUACCGGACCGAUUAAAUCGGCCAAUCUAGUUCCGGACCACGGAAGACUCACCCUGGGCGACUGUCCCGGGCUUCCCCUCCCGCUACCUGAGUAGCUGACCUCGUCGGAUCCCUCGACCCCGACGUGGACCUAGACCUGGAGCUGCACCUGGACCUGGACCUGCACUUCGACAGGAAGCCAAGGAGAGUGCGGUAUUUCUUGACCGAACCAGUGCGCGUGUGACACCCUUGACCUUGGCCUAACCGACGACCUAUCUACCUACUUAUUUAAAAUAAAUCUUCUUUUUAAACUAAAUUAUGUUCGUCCUUUUUAUUUCCUCACCUGUAGGAUUUAUUUAGGCGACAGCAUUUU
Plutella xylostella (diamondback moth) is the source of this 809-nucleotide non-coding RNA. The record is from RefSeq and is a predicted model, not a curated record. NCBI's taxonomy places the organism in Eukaryota, Metazoa, Arthropoda, Insecta, Lepidoptera, Plutellidae.